GCCAAGGGGCCCAAGCCGGAGAAGCCCCCGACCAAGGGCCACGGCCACAAGCCGGAGAAGCCGCCCAAGGAGCACAAGCCGACUCCGCCCACCUACACCCCGAGCCCCAAGCCCACGCCGCCGCCGGCUACUCCCAAGCCGACGCCGCCCACCUACACGCCGAGCCCUAAGCCCAAGUCGCCGGUCUACCCUCCCCCGCCGAAAGCCAGUACUCCUCCGACCUACACCCCGAGCCCCAAGCCUCCGGCGACCAAGCCGCCUACCUACCCGACCCCCAAGCCACCAGCUACCAAGCCUCCGACACCUCCUGUGUACACUCCGAGCCCCAAACCACCGGUUACAAAGCCUCCUACACCCAAGCCGACCCCGCCGGUGUACACGCCGAACCCCAAGCCACCGGUUACCAAGCCUCCGACACACACGCCGAGCCCCAAGCCUCCGACAUCCAAGCCGACUCCGCCGGUGUACACACCGAGCCCCAAGCCACCGAAGCCGUCCCCGCCGACGUACACGCCGACCCCGAAGCCACCGGCUACCAAGCCGCCCACCUCAACUCCGACGCACCCUAAGCCGACGCCGCACACGCCUAUCCCCAAGCCCACGCCGCCAACCUACAAGCCGGCACCGAAGCCGACGCCGCCGGCGCCCACCCCGCCGACAUACACGCCGCCGGUGUCGCACAC
Molecule: long non-coding RNA, 683 nt
Filed under: Sorghum bicolor (sorghum)
Lineage: Eukaryota; Viridiplantae; Streptophyta; Magnoliopsida; Poales; Poaceae
Description: long non-coding RNA (SBIC_LNC011143)
Source: RNAcentral